UACGAAGGGUGCAAACGUUGCUCGGAAUUAUUGGGCGUAAAGCGCACGUAGGCGGCUUUGCAAGUUAGAGGUGAAAGCCCGGGGCUCAACUCCGGAAUUGCCUUUAAAACUGCAUCGCUAGAAUUGUGGAGAGGUAAGUGGAAUUCCGAGUGUAGAGGUGAAAUUCGUAGAUAUUCGGAAGAACACCAGUGGCGAAGGCGACUUACUGGACACAUAUUGACGCUGAGGUGCGAAAAGCGUGGGGAGCAAACAGG
Molecule: ribosomal RNA, 254 nt
Filed under: uncultured bacterium
Lineage: Bacteria
Description: partial 16S ribosomal RNA
Rfam family: Bacterial small subunit ribosomal RNA
Source: RNAcentral